GACGAACGCUGGCGGCGUGCUUAACACAUGCAAGUCGAACGGAAAGGCCCUGCUUUUGUGGGGUGCUCGAGUGGCGAACGGGUGAGUAACACGUGAGUAACCUGCCCUUGACUUUGGGAUAACUUCAGGAAACUGGGGCUAAUACCGGAUAGGAGCUCCUGCUGCAUGGUGGGGGUUGGUAAGUUUCGGCGGUUGGGGAUGGACUCGCGGCUUAUCAGCUUGUUGGUGGGGUAGUGGCUUACCAAGGCUUUGACAGGUAGCCGGCCUGAGAGGGUGACCGGCCACAUUGGGACUGAGAUGCGGCCCAGCCUCCUACGGGAGGCAGCGGUGGGGAAUAUUGCACAAUGGGCGGAAGCCUGAUGCAGCAACGCCGCGUGCGGGAUGACGGCCUUCGGGUUGGAAACCGCUUUCGCCUGUGACGAAGCGUGAGUGACGGUAAUGGGUAAAGAAGCACCGGCUAACUACGUG
This 468-nucleotide ribosomal RNA is filed under the name uncultured bacterium. RNAcentral describes it as "partial 16S ribosomal RNA". It matches the Rfam family "Bacterial small subunit ribosomal RNA", at positions 28 to 507 of the family's 1533-position model. The record is from RNAcentral.